AUUCUGAAAGAGAUGGGAAUACCAGACCACCUAACCUGCCUCUUGAGAACAACACAAGCCCCUCUGAAAUGUCUCAGAAACUUUCAGACCUCGGCAGAGUAAGGAGUGGAUUAUAUGGACAUGAGGGACCCCUGUGGGUGCUUUGUUACCCUUCUGUCCUUUGCACAUGAUAAAUGUUUAGUGGUGAUUGAGAACAAUAAAGAGAAUCUCUAUGUGGCUUAGACUGGAAUCACAGAGGAAUUCGCAGAAGGAAAGGCCCAAGAGUUAGGGGAAAGUGGAGAAGGCUUGGUUCAGAAGGUGUCACUUCUGAUGCUUUGGGGAGCUGACCCAACAGUGGGUUUGGCUGUUGUCACUGGGUUGAGAGAAGCACCCAUGAGGACAGUACUGGUCCAACGAGCCAGCAACAAACCAGCCAGCUCUGCACCUCAUUAGAAUCAGUACUUGUUACUUUGGGGACCUCUGGAGGAUACCUGGGUGUUAUUGGGGAGGGUGGUCAGAAAGAGAUCAUGUGGCUGUCACAGAAGAAAGAGGAUCAAUGAGUCCAUUUUGGAGUGGAGCAGGUGACUUCUGGUCCAGGAGCAGGUGGUCUGGACUGGACCAAAGAGGAGGGAAUUGCCGAGAGCCUGUGUGUUCAGAGGCAAUGGGAUUCAGCCACAGAGAGGUCAACUUGCCCGUUGCCUAGGAAAGGGCACCUUGGAUGCCUCUCAGUUGGAAGAUAUUAUCUCCAGAUGGAAUCCUCUGCCUGCUGGCAAAGUCAGCAGCAUGAUUUGGGACAAUAGUGAUGAAGAUGGUGAAUCUUGGAAAGGACUUAGGAGCCAAAGAAUGAGCCAGGCGUGGGUUUGUGCCCAACACCAUGUGUCCUGGCUGGAGCAUCCAGGCCGAAGCUUGAUUUACAUUCAGGCUGCAUCCCUGAUUGGUGAAGCUGGACUUGCUUGUCGUCCUGAUGAGUCUGAAGCUCGAUUCAAUGACAUUACAUGAAUGACUACAGCGCUAUAGCAUGUUCUGCACCGUUUCAAAUUGUAACCUAAAAAAAGGGAAGAACUUGGAUCGCAGCCAGAGUGUAAUGAUUUCAGUUCUUAAGAAAAUCCAGCAACCAUUACAGCACAUUCAAUAUUUUCUUGCUGUGGAAAUUUAAGAAUUGACUCUAAUCAAAUAGCAACCCCACCACCCCCAUCCUCCAUUUUCCUAUGGUUCCUGUUACUAAUAGGCCUCCCACGUCUGUUUUG
This 1226-nucleotide long non-coding RNA is filed under the name Capra hircus (goat). RNAcentral's name for it is "lncRNA (ENSCHIG00010010595.1)". Lineage: Eukaryota; Metazoa; Chordata; Mammalia; Artiodactyla; Bovidae. The record is from RNAcentral.